This 635-nucleotide ribosomal RNA is filed under the name Kosakonia cowanii. RNAcentral's name for it is "bacterial SSU rRNA". It matches the Rfam family "Bacterial small subunit ribosomal RNA", at positions 38 to 663 of the family's 1533-position model. The record is from RNAcentral. Lineage: Bacteria; Pseudomonadati; Pseudomonadota; Gammaproteobacteria; Enterobacterales; Enterobacteriaceae.
GGCAAUGCGCGGCUACCAUGCAGUCGACGGUAACAGGAAGCAGCUUGCUGCUUCGCUGACGAGUGGCGGACGGGUGAGUAAUGUCUGGGAAACUGCCUGAUGGAGGGGGAUAACUACUGGAAACGGUAGCUAAUACCGCAUAACGUCGCAAGACCAAAGAGGGGGACCUUCGGGCCUCUUGCCAUCGGAUGUGCCCAGAUGGGAUUAGCUAGUAGGUGGGGUAACGGCUCACCUAGGCGACGAUCCCUAGCUGGUCUGAGAGGAUGACCAGCCACACUGGAACUGAGACACGGUCCAGACUCCUACGGGAGGCAGCAGUGGGGAAUAUUGCACAAUGGGCGCAAGCCUGAUGCAGCCAUGCCGCGUGUAUGAAGAAGGCCUUCGGGUUGUAAAGUACUUUCAGCGGGGAGGAAGGCGAUGAGGUUAAUAACCUUGUCGAUUGACGUUACCCGCAGAAGAAGCACCGGCUAACUCCGUGCCAGCAGCCGCGGUAAUACGGAGGGUGCAAGCGUUAAUCGGAAUUACUGGGCGUAAAGCGCACGCAGGCGGUCUGUCAAGUCGGAUGUGAAAUCCCCGGGCUCAACCUGGGAACUGCUUUUCGAAACUGGCAGGCUAGAGUCUUGUAGAGGGGGGUA